This 670-nucleotide ribosomal RNA is filed under the name Staphylococcus aureus. Its description in RNAcentral is "bacterial SSU rRNA". It matches the Rfam family "Bacterial small subunit ribosomal RNA", at positions 126 to 762 of the family's 1533-position model. Lineage: Bacteria; Bacillati; Bacillota; Bacilli; Caryophanales; Staphylococcaceae. The record is from RNAcentral.
UCGGCGGAGAUUUGGGAGAGAUUUGAAACCGGAGCUAAUACCGGAUAAUAUUUUGAACCGCAUGGUUCAAAAGUGAAAGACGGUCUUGCUGUCACUUAUAGAUGGAUCCGCGCUGCAUUAGCUAGUUGGUAAGGUAACGGCUUACCAAGGCAACGAUGCAUAGCCGACCUGAGAUUGGGUGAUCGGCCACACUGGAACUGAGACACGGUCCAGACUCCUACGGGAGGCAGCAGUAGGGAAUCUUCCGCAAUGGGCGAAAGCCUGACGGAGCAACGCCGCGUGAGUGAUGAAGGUCUUCGGAUCGUAAAACUCUGUUAUGAGAUAGGGAAGAACAUAUGUGUUUAAGUAACUGUGCACAUCUUGACGGUACCUAAUCAGAAAGCCACGGCUAACUACGUGCCAGCAGCCGCGGUAAUACGGUGUUAGGUGGCAAGCGUUAUCCGGAAUUAUUGGGCGUAAAGCGCGCGUAGGCGGUUUUUUAAGUCUGAUGUGAAAAGAGAUUGCCCACGGCUCAACCGUGGAGGGUCAUUGGAAACUGGAAAACUUGAGUGCAGAAGAGGAAAGUGGAAUUCCAUGUGUAGCGGUGAAAUGCGCAGAGAUAUGGAGGAACACCAGUGGCGAAGCGACUUUCUGGUCUGUAACUGACGCUGAGAUUGAUGUGCGAAAGCGU